CAGUGUUCCAGGGUGGUGCAGAAAUCUUCAAGUACGUGCAUGGCUUCAUCACUGGUGUCCCUAGCGUUGGUCUGUUUUCUAAAAGUUGUUGCUGCUGCAUGGACUCAUUCAGCUCACGUAGGACUGCAUACUUCUUUCAUAACAAAUCAUUCAACAUGCUGAGUCAGAUCCUCUUUAACCAAAGGGCUCAUGCUCUUUGGUGAUCACAGAUAAAUGUAUGAUUGAUGCAAGUCACUUCCAGGAACUCCUGACAAGCCCAUCAAUGACACUAACUAUUGUCUGAGGUGGAGGACAUUCAAGACCUUUUGCCAUAUAGAUAACAUCAAGAAUUCUGUAAGUUUCUUCAGUUUCCAAGAGGUUAAUUUAUGGCAGCUUCAUUCCAGGGCUUAAUUUAAGUCUUUUACCACGCUGAAUCUCUGGAAGGGUAGAGUGAAGUCAGUGUUGUAGAACUGACCCUCUGGGCCAUGUAGGUGGGAGGCAACCUUUAACCACUGGUAAUGUGACUCAUUAUUCCACUGAAACUGUCUUCUCUGUGGUUUCCAGGAGACUGUCAUAGUCUGUGUAGAACUCACAGAUGGUAAACUCAGGAUCGUGGGUCAAAACAAUUCCUUCAUUCUGGAAGUGGUGUCCAAUGUCAUAAACCUGGUCAAUGCCAAAAGCACAUUAUGGUAAAGUUCUGGGGGCAAUUGUCUUACAUAAGUUCAUGUCUUAUUUUUUUGUGAUAAGAGAGGAAAAGCUUGGUCACAGCUCCCCCCCACCCUAGGAUGAUGUUCAUUUUAUAAAUUCUAAUCUCUAGGAAUCCCAGAUCACCCAAGAAGCUUCUUACAUCUGUGAUGACCUUACCAUUGAUGAUAUACUUCUGCCUUAUAAAAUCAAUCAGGAUCAAGUCCAGGCGGAGGUAACAUAUGUAACCAUGGAAAGAGCAGUAUGAUCUCGUAGGGAAUGACACUCAGCUCACCAUUUUUGAUUUUCUCAGGAUUCCUCUGAAUUUUAAUCAUGUCUCCUGAUGUAAUAUUGUUAUGAAUAAAUUCUUCUUCUGAUCAAUAAUUCCUGGAAUUCACCAUGACUUGCAACUUGACCUGUCUCCUCUGCAGGUCAUAGAAGAUGAGCUUUCCCCCACAAGCUCUUUUGGCCUGCGUCCUCCCUGCCACCUUUAAGGCAAUGUCAGCCAGGUAGCUCCCAGGCUGCAGGUAACUGUACCCUUGGAUGAAGUGAGUGAGCAAGAUGUCUACAUGGAACUGCGUGGGUCUCAGUCUUCCCUAUUCAGCUGGUGGACAGCUUGACUGCAGAUCUUGUAGCAUUGAUUCACACCCACACCACUCUCGGUGGUGGGGCUUGUGGAAGCAGCCUUGCCAGGAUUGCAGCCAUCCCGGCUUAGCUAUUUCUCAGUGAGAUUUUUCUGAUUGGCCCCUUCUCAGCCACUUUCCUCUCAGCUCUCAGGUGUCUCUUUUGUUUAUUCUUGCUCAGUUUCAUUUUGCAGACAUCUGCUUUCACUUCGGUCCUGGGCUGCUGCUGUCUUCCUGGACAGGCUCACCCAAAAGAUUGAAAGUAUUCAUCUUAACAACUAGUGUAACAGCACCAUAUGAUAGUUGGAUAGUUGGUCAUUGGCUGUAUCUUCAGGCUGACCAUUCCUAGUGUAGGUAUAAUGACCACAGAACCAUCUCUCUAGCUUCUGUUCUGUUGGGUAAGUGGGCUGCCUCUAGUUUUAACUGCAAUAUUAAGUUCAGUUCUAAGCAUUUUUGUGUGCACCUUUGUUUCUUUUUUUGGGGGGGGGGUACUGGGGAGUGAACUCAAGGGGCACUUGACCACUGAGCCACAUCCCCAGCCCUAUUUUGUAUUUUAUUUAGAGACAGGGCCUCACUGAACUCAUGAUCCUCCUGCCUCAGCCUCCCAAGCCACUAGGAUUACAGGCAUGUGCCACCUUACCUGGCUUCAUUUUUAUAUUUAAUAAACUUAUAUUUCCUGUUUUUAUGUGUUUCCUUGGAACAUAUCUCUAAAGUAUUUUCUAAGGUCAAAGGUUAUUGUCAAUUUUACCAUUUAACAAGGUGAUGUAAAAAGCAUGUAAUCAUAGGUUCAGAAACACUCUUGUCCAUAUUUUCAUAGACUACUGAUGCUGGAGAGCUAGGAGGCAGCAUGGUCUAGUGGAGAGAGGGUGGGCAUUUAGGCAUUGAUCAGGGAGAGCUGUGUUCAGGUCUGAGCAGUAUUACCUGGGUAAGAAGUAGGGGCUUGGCAGUCACCCAGCCUCUGUGAAGUUUCUAGCUAUAAAAUGGGAGAGAGGCCAUUGCUCAUAACACCAGGCAAAGCAGGCAUCAGUUACAUACAUCUGUUCCUGACUUUGGCCUGAAGCCUUGGUCAUCUUUGUUACACUCUCAGCCGGCCCAUUUUUGCAGAAGGUGGACUGGGUAACAGGAGUUGAACAAUGAACUAUUAAAUUGUGUUCUGGGCUGUGCACAGUGGCAUAUGCCUGUAAUCCCAGUGAUUUGGGAGGCUGAGACAGGAGGAUCAUAAGUUCAAGGCCAGCCUUAGCAAUUUAGCAAGGCCCAGCAUAACUUAGCAAUUUAGCAAGGCCCAGUCUCAAAAUAAAAAAUAAAAUGGCUGGGAAUGUGGCUCAGUGGUAAAGUACCCCGGCGUUCAAAUCCUCAGUACCCUUUGCCACUCCCCCAAAAGUGUUCUACAUCUUAGGAGGUGUGCAUACUGCCACCUUCUGGUGUGAAGAGUUAGUGUAGAGAUGAUCCAGGGAUCAAGCUACUUCUCAUUGUGUCCCUGUGAGGAUCUGCCCCAGGGUGAUGCUGUAGGAGAAAGAGGGGGAGGUCCUCUCCACCCAGCCUGACAGCUUCUAUCUAGAUGAUGUCCUCCUUCUGCUGAUGAAAUUCUGGAGACAGGAAGAUACUGAGUUUCCAAAGCCUACUUGUAAAUGAUGGUGUAUUUUUGGCUCUGAAGACUGUGGAGGUGUUGGCAAAGGAUGUCUUUGCAAAAUGAGGUGUCUUUAUCAGUGUUUAUUAAACCCUUCAGAGAGGUUGACUGUAGUGGUAAGUUAGUCCAUAGAUCUUUACAGCACCUAGAAUGUGCCAGAUACAUGCUUUGAUACACAUCAUUGAAUUAUGGAGGGUUCCUGCCUCUUUCUCAUUGUCUAGAGGGGAUGUUUGUUGAUAAGAUUAUCUAUCUAUUUAUUUAUUUACUUACUUACUUAUUUUUGUGAUACUGGGAUUGAACCCAGGGGCACUCUGCCAUUGAGUCACACCCUCAGAACCCCCCACUACUUUUAAAUCUUUGAGACAGAGUCUUACUAAGUUGUCCAGGCUGGUCUUGAACACAUAAUCUUCCUGCCUCAGCCUCCCCAGUUGCUGGGAUUACAGGCAUGUGCCACCAUACCUGGUGAGAUUAAUUAUUUUAAAAUUGACAUAGUUUCUUUUAUUUAUUUAAUUGAAGACAAAAAUUGUAUCUAAACAGAACAUUAAAAAAUAGUUUAAAGCACAAUAUGUUGCCUCUCAAGUACAAUAGCCAUUUUUUUCUCAGUAGAUUCUAGCCCUUGUACACUGGUAUGAAGAUUUUUACAGAGCUAUAACCAUAAUACAUAUAUUAUCCUGAAGUUCGUUAUAUUUUACUUGUUAUAAACAUCUCUCUAUAUUGCUACUUAAUCUUCAUAAUUAUCCUUAUAGCUAUGUAUGAGGCAAAUGUAUGACUGAAUCAAAAUCUUUGUAGCAAUUCUCUUAAGUUUAGUUUUUUUCUAUAAUAGACACUGCUUAUAUUAACUUCUUUAUGCACAUCUUUAUUGCACUACUUCUCAAUAAUCAUAAAUAUGGUUCUUCCUAUGUGUUGCUAUAUUGUUUCCCAAAAGAACUAUUAUGAAUUUACAAUGCCACCAAAAUUAUGUCAGUUAGUUUGGUUGCAGCCCUGGGUGUCUUGAAUAUUGUUGCUGUAAAACAUUUUUGAGAAUUAAUAUUUUAAAUGGGAUCCUAGAUUUGCUUUCAUCUGUAUUUCUUUGAAUACCAGUAGGCAGUUUCCUUUUCACAUGUGCAGUAUUUAUAAUUGCUUCUGCAUGAGAACUCUGUUUAUAUUGUGGUUAAAAAUGUGAAUGGGACCCUUGUUGUACGUCUUUUCUUAAAAGAGAGAAAAGCAAUAGAAAUUGCAUUAUUACAGCUCAGAGGGUCAGAAUGGUACUUAACUGUUUUAUUCGUUGGGUUAACAAUGCCUUCUGGAAUCUUCCCAAGAAUGCCCCAGUGUUCUAAGAUCUAGAGUGCAAGUCUAUUCUCCUGCCCAGAACUACUGAGAAAAGUGAUUCUACAACACCCUUAGUGUGCUUGACUCAAUAAAGGAAAUGACAUGAUUCCCCAGUAUGUAUGAGAGAGUUGGACAGCAGCCUAGGUUAUAAAAAUGCAAAUUAAGAUUAUGUGAUUGGAGAGUUAAUUGGUUUCCUAGUGACUCUGAAGAAUACAGAGUGUCCUUGAGUGUCUCAGUUGGAAGGG
This 4466-nucleotide long non-coding RNA is filed under the name Marmota monax (woodchuck). The record is from RNAcentral. Lineage: Eukaryota; Metazoa; Chordata; Mammalia; Rodentia; Sciuridae.